RNAcentral lists this ribosomal RNA (448 nucleotides) under uncultured bacterium. Its description in RNAcentral is "bacterial SSU rRNA". It matches the Rfam family "Bacterial small subunit ribosomal RNA", at positions 64 to 507 of the family's 1533-position model. The record is from RNAcentral.
GAGCGGAUGACGGGAGCUUGCUCCUUGAUUCAGCGGCGGACGGGUGAGUAAUGCCUAGGAAUCUGCCUGGUAGUGGGGGACAACGUUUCGAAAGGAACGCUAAUACCGCAUACGUCCUACGGGAGAAAGCAGGGGACCUUCGGGCCUUGCGCUAUCAGAUGAGCCUAGGUCGGAUUAGCUAGUUGGUGGGGUAAUGGCUCACCAAGGCGACGAUCCGUAACUGGUCUGAGAGGAUGAUCAGUCACACUGGAACUGAGACACGGUCCAGACUCCUACGGGAGGCAGCAGUGGGGAAUAUUGGACAAUGGGCGAAAGCCUGACCCAGCCAUGCCGCGUGUGUGAAGAAGGUCUUCGGAUUGUAAAGCACUUUAAGUUGGGAGGAAGGGCAGUAAGCUAAUACCUUGCUGUUUUGACGUUACCGACAGAAUAAGCACCGGCUAACUCUGUG